UACAGAGGUCCCAAGCGUUGUUCGGAUUCACUGGGCGUAAAGGGUGCGUAGGCGGUCUGGUAAGUCUGACGUGAAAUCUCCGGGCCUAACCCGGAAACUGCGUCGGAUACUAUCCGGCUAGAGGAUUGGAGGGGAGACUGGAAUACUUGGUGUAGCAGUGAAAUGCGUAGAUAUCAAGUGGAACACCAGUGGCGAAGGCGAGUCUCUGGACAUUUCCUGACGCUGAGGCACGAAAGCCAGGGGAGCAAACGGG
Molecule: ribosomal RNA, 253 nt
Filed under: uncultured bacterium
Lineage: Bacteria
Description: partial 16S ribosomal RNA
Rfam family: Bacterial small subunit ribosomal RNA
Source: RNAcentral